RNAcentral lists this long non-coding RNA (469 nucleotides) under Salvia miltiorrhiza (redroot sage). RNAcentral describes it as "long non-coding RNA (SMIL_LNC012676)". Lineage: Eukaryota; Viridiplantae; Streptophyta; Magnoliopsida; Lamiales; Lamiaceae. The record is from RNAcentral.
GAAAUUACAAAAAGCACUACAGACUGCAUGCACAUUAUUAAUAUUGCAAUUAAAUGUACAACCAUUAAUUAAAUACUUAAAGAAGUAAAUUACAAUUUCUUAACCACUAUAAAUGAUGGCCCUCGAAACAAGUGUGACAAUCCAAAUAUUGAUCUGUAAAAUAAAAUCAGAAAAAUGAAGUGCAAAGGGCUUGGACCUGUGGUUGCAAUUAUGGUGAUAGCCUUCCUAAUUAGUGCAGUUGCAAAUGCAGAUCAAUGUGAAGAUUGUCUUAAAGGCUGCAUCGACAAACUCAUCAUGUCUCUCUGCAAGUUAAAAUGCAGAAAAGUUUGUUCAUGAAGUCGCGGCCGCCGUCGCAGCAGCUGCUCCGCCACCGGGGGGCUAUUCAUCUAUAUUCUGUAACUACGUAAUUUUUAUUUUAAUAUUUGAGGGAAUAUUCCCUUGAUUUGGAGUGCAUUGCAUGAGAAGUGAC